Molecule: ribosomal RNA, 1506 nt
Filed under: metagenome
Description: bacterial SSU rRNA
Rfam family: Bacterial small subunit ribosomal RNA
Source: RNAcentral
AGAGUUUGAUCCUGGCUCAGGACGAACGCUGGCGGCGUGCCUAAUACAUGCAAGUCGAGCGGACAGAUGGGAGCUUGCUCCCUGAUGUUAGCGGCGGACGGGUGAGUAACACGUGGGUAACCUGCCUGUAAGACUGGGAUAACUCCGGGAACCGGGGCUAAUACCGGAUGGUUGUUUGAACCGCAUGGUUCAAACAUAAAAGGUGGCUUCGGCUACCACUUACAGAUGGACCCGCGGCGCAUUAGCUAGUUGGUGAGGUAACGGCUCACCAAGGCAACGAUGCGUAGCCGACCUGAGAGGGUGAUCGGCCACACUGGGACUGAGACACGGCCCAGACUCUUACGGGAGGCAGCAGUAGGGAAUCUUCCGCAAUGGACGAAAGUCUGACGGAGCAACGCCGCGUGAGUGAUGAAGGUUUUCGGAUCGUAAAGCUCUGUUGUUAGGGAAGAACAAGUACCGUUCGAAUAGGGCGGUACCUUGACGGUACCUAACCAGAAAGCCACGGCUAACUACGUGCCAGCAGCCGCGGUAAUACGUAGGUGGCAAGCGUUGUCCGGAAUUAUUGGGCGUAAAGGGCUCGCAGGCGGUUUCUUAAGUCUGAUGUGAAAGCCCCCGGCUCAACCGGGGAGGGUCAUUGGAAACUGGGGAACUUGAGUGCAGAAGAGGAGAGUGGAAUUCCACGUGUAGCGGUGAAAUGCGUAGAGAUGUGGAGGAACACCAGUGGCGAAGGCGACUCUCUGGUCUGUAACUGACGCUGAGGAGCGAAAGCGUGGGGAGCGAACAGGAUUAGAUACCCUGGUAGUCCACGCCGUAAACGAUGAGUGCUAAGUGUUAGGGGGUUUCCGCCCCUUAGUGCUGCAGCUAACGCAUUAAGCACUCCGCCUGGGGAGUACGGUCGCAAGACUGAAACUCAAAGGAAUUGACGGGGGCCCGCACAGCGGUGGAGCAUGUGGUUUAAUUCGAAGCAACGCGAAGAACCUUACCAGGUCUUGACAUCCUCUGACAAUCCUAGAGAUAGGACGUCCCCUUCGGGGGCAGAGUGACAGGUGUUGCAUGGUUGUCGUCAGCUCGUGUCGUGAGAUGUUGGGUUAAGUCCCGCAACGAGCGCAACCCUUGAUCUUAGUUGCCAGCAUUCAGUUGGGCACUCUAAGGUGACUGCCGGUGACAAACCGGAGGAAGGUGGGGAUGACGUCAAAUCAUCAUGCCCCUUAUGACCUGGGCUACACACGUGCUACAAUGGACAGAACAAAGGGCAGCGAAACCGCGAGGUUAAGCCAAUCCCACAAAUCUGUUCUCAGUUCGGAUCGCAGUCUGCAACUCGACUGCGUGAAGCUGGAAUCGCUAGUAAUCGCGGAUCAGCAUGCCGCGGUGAAUACGUUCCCGGGCCUUGUACACACCGCCCGUCACACCACGAGAGUUUGUAACACCCGAAGUCGGCGAGGUAACCUUUUAGGAGCCAGCCGCCGAAGGUGGGACAGAUGAUCGGGGUGAAGUCGUAACAAGGUA